AAAAUCACAUUACAAAACAUUUUGUUAUUUUCAAAGCGACAAACUAUAAUAUGGCCGAAAUACAAAAUUUGCAAGAUAUAAAUAAAGAAGAGUUGAUCAACUCUGUUAGAUUUUACCCUUGUCUUUAUGACAAAAGAUCAAUUGGGUAUAAAAAUACCCAGAAAAAUAAUUCCAUACGGAAAUCCAUAGCAGCAGAAAAUAGUAUUGAGACAGUAUAGAUAACUAAAUCUACAUAAAAGAAUCUAAGAGAUUCUUUUUUGAGGGAACAUAAAAAGUGGGUCAGGGGCUGAUAACAGUCCCACCUGGAAAUUUUAUAAUAAUUUAACUUUUUUGAUUCCCACUAUAGAAUCUGGGAAACAAUACACCAACCUGAAAAAAAUAAAACCUCUUAUACCUAAUAUUGGUGAAGCAAACAUUGCUAGAGCAAUGUUUGAACAGAUGAGUGGAAAUUUCCAAUAUGAAGAUGAGAUUAGUCAGAGUCAAUCUACAGAUGUUAGGAAUGAUGGUGAUUAUAUUUUAUAUAAAUAAUAUUAUAUAUUUAGCAACACCAUCAACUAGUGAAUCUUAUGUACCUGGCAAAAAGUUAAUUAAAAAGAG
This is a long non-coding RNA of Gordionus sp. m RMFG-2023, 597 nucleotides long. RefSeq lists it as uncharacterized. The record is from RefSeq and is a predicted model, not a curated record. NCBI's taxonomy places the organism in Eukaryota, Metazoa, Nematomorpha, Gordioida, Chordodea, Parachordodidae. The transcript has 4 exons.